This 253-nucleotide ribosomal RNA is filed under the name uncultured bacterium. RNAcentral's name for it is "partial 16S ribosomal RNA". It matches the Rfam family "Bacterial small subunit ribosomal RNA", at positions 524 to 776 of the family's 1533-position model. The record is from RNAcentral.
UACGUAGGGAGCAAGCGUUGUCCGGAAUCAUUGGGCGUAAAGCGCGCGUAGGCGGCCCUGUAAGUCCGCUGUGAAAGUCAAAGGCUCAACCUUUGAAAGCCGGUGGAUACUGCAGGGCUAGAGUCCGGAAGAGGCGAGUGGAAUUCCUGGUGUAGCGGUGGAAUGCGCAGAUAUCAGGAGGAACACCGGUGGCGAAGGCGGGUCUCUGGACCAGUACUGACACUGAGGAGCGAAAGCAUGGGGAUCAAACAGG